GUUCUUGCCCAGCUCCCUGGCCACGUCCGGGCGGCCGCUGCGCCGCAGGGCCCGAGCCAGGCGGUCCCAGGACAGGGACGCGGCCUGGGGGGCCAGCCAGGCCGCCAGCGCCUCCCGGCAGCCGUCGGACACCUCUCCAGGCCCGGCUACCCUGCCCGCCGGGUCCUCGGCCGCCUCUCGCCGCCGCCGCCGGCUCGGAGACCCCGACGUGGUGUUGAGCGGCUCAGGCCGCGCCAGCCGGUCUUCAGAAAGCCGGGACAACUCGGCCUCCACGUCGGGCUCGGGCGCCUCCAGGAGCGACCGGAAAUGGCCGCACUCCUCCGGGGUCAGCAGCUCGGCCAGACGGACGGCUGCGUGAGGGCCCAUAGCGUCCACGGCCCCCGCCGGAGCCAGCGCCCAAACCCAGAGCGUGAGGACCAAGGCGCUCGCCAGAGUCCGCGCCGCCAUCCCUGGCGGGAACCAGGGACCGAGGACUGUGCGGGGACGGGGACGUGGACGGGCUCCGCGCCGGUGAUGGGGGAGGGGUUCCGAACGCCCGCGGAUUGUGGGAGGGAGGAGGCUCCGAACAGUCGGGAAGCCUAGUGGAGGAGGGGACUGGGGACAAGGGGGCUGCCAACACCCAGCGACGGAGACGGGGACUCCGACAUGGCACUUGUUGGAGGGUCUC
Molecule: long non-coding RNA, 667 nt
Filed under: Homo sapiens (human)
Lineage: Eukaryota; Metazoa; Chordata; Mammalia; Primates; Hominidae
Description: HSALNT0368206
Source: RNAcentral